Molecule: long non-coding RNA, 1770 nt
Organism: Melanotaenia boesemani (Boeseman's rainbowfish)
Lineage: Eukaryota; Metazoa; Chordata; Actinopteri; Atheriniformes; Melanotaeniidae
Exons: 3
Source: RefSeq, a predicted model, not a curated record
UGUGCAGAUCUUCACAGGAGCGAAGAAACGCAACGCUAACGUUCACCGACGUUUCCUCUGUCUGUGCCUGAAGAGCCGUUUGCAGACAACUGAUGUACUUGCCUACAGGAAGGCCACAGCACAUAGAGACCUACUUUCACCCAAAGGAGAAGGCUGAAGACAUGUCUGGACACUGACCUGGAGGAAUUGUCGGUUAAAGGCUUGAAACUAGAUAUACUCACUGAAGUGGUCGAAGAUUAUGUUGGAACCGUCAACUCUGCUUCAACUACAAGAAGCAUUGCCUUGGUUAUCGAGGAGCAGAUUGUUGUAGAUGACAUCGGAGACUUGCCUACAGCAUUUUCUCUUUGGCCUCACAUAUGCUCUGAACUUGGACUAUCCUAAGGACCUUAAGUGCACUUUUGAGGCAGUUCAGAAGGUGUUCAUGAACUUGGGUACCCACUGCUCAGCCAGGGUUUAGGCCCUAAAGAACAGUUUGCUGAAGUAGCCCGUUUUGAUGAUACCAGUGAUGUGCUGCACUGGUAAGUGCUGACCAGAUUGUUCACUAGCUUACUUUUUAAAACUUUACUAAGUUGUUAUACAAUUCAGAGAUAGCAUCAUUGGAGUUAUUGUUUGACACUUGUUUGUUCUAAAUGCAAUAAUCAAAAAAUGUUAUUGAUGAAUGCUGAUGAAAGGAUGACAAAAAUGCUCUUUUUCUUUAUUCAAAGUUGAUGUUGGCAGCUGUUUGUUUUCUUAAAAUGUUAUAUUUAUAUUUGGUAAACGGUACAAGCUGGGAUAACAGGAGGGUCUUUGCAAAAGCAGCACAGCAUUUUCAUAAGAAGCAAUAAACAGUGAAAUAGAAAUAUAGAUUGCUGAAUCUAAUUUAAAAUUCAAUAAUUAAAUCAUACAAUAAAAACAUUCUUUUGCAAAGUGUUUUGUAAAUAAAACAUUUGUGGUUUCUAUUUCCAUUUCUGUUUUCUAUUCUCCUCUGCAUUUUCAAAUCCCUCCUUGAUGGUUUUCCCUUCAUUUAUCUUUGGGGCCUUGAGCAGUGAAAACCAAGUUAAACCACAGCUGCUCCUCAGCUGUAACCAGCUCUCUUAACGGUUACACGCCACACUUGUGCCUCUGUCUUGCAUCUCCGAUUUGGUGAAGUAACAUCUUGCUAACAGCUCACUAACUACGUUGGCGGUACCGAUGUUGAUAUGCAGGAGACUGCUGCAGAUAAGUCAAAACUUUAAAGAAUCUAUCCAGCAUACAGAAUAUGAAUUUCUGUAAAGUUUGAGAAGGUCACUUUGCAAAUUUAUAUUUUUAUUGUAUGAAUUAUUAAAUUUGAAAUUAUAUUAAGCAAUCUAUAUUUUUAUUUCACAAUUUAUUACACCUUAUGAAAAUGCUGUAUUGUUUUUCCAAAGACCCCCUUGGUCCUCCACAAGAUAAAUGCUACUGAGUGUAAAAAAAAUUUACAGUUUUUUGGGGGGUGGGGUAAGGGGUUUAACAAUCCCAUAAUGCACCUUUCAUUCACUUAAUAGUUGACUAUUUUUUUUAUUCAUUUAUAGAGUCCAUUGAAACAAGUUUGUUUUCUAUAAUUUAUUUAGUUUGUCAUUAGUUUGAUUAUUGCUGUUAUUUGUAACAAGAAAUCAAAUUAUUUGACAACUCGAUUAGUUUUUAUUCUCUUUUAAAAGGUGGCAUUUGUUUUUAACAAUACUGAAAAAUAUACAUCUUCAUAUGUUCAUGUUACCACUUUAACUUGGAACAUUUCAUGUAAACUGCUGUUCAAUUUCUCUGAAUAAAUUAUUA